RNAcentral lists this ribosomal RNA (465 nucleotides) under Vreelandella stevensii. RNAcentral's name for it is "partial 16S ribosomal RNA". It matches the Rfam family "Bacterial small subunit ribosomal RNA", at positions 338 to 795 of the family's 1533-position model. The record is from RNAcentral. Lineage: Bacteria; Pseudomonadati; Pseudomonadota; Gammaproteobacteria; Oceanospirillales; Halomonadaceae.
CCUACGGGGGGCUGCAGUGGGGAAUAUUGGACAAUGGGGGGAACCCUGAUCCAGCCAUGCCGCGUGUGUGAAGAAGGCCCUCGGGUUGUAAAGCACUUUCAGUGAGGAAGAACUCCUGGUGGUUAAUACCCAUCAGGAAAGACAUCACUCACAGAAGAAGCACCGGCUAACUCCGUGCCAGCAGCCGCGGUAAUACGGAGGGUGCGAGCGUUAAUCGGAAUUACUGGGCGUAAAGCGCGCGUAGGUGGCUUGAUAAGCCGGUUGUGAAAGCCCCGGGCUCAACCUGGGAACGGCAUCCGGAACUGUCAAGCUAGAGUGCAGGAGAGGAAGGUAGAAUUCCCGGUGUAGCGGUGAAAUGCGUAGAGAUCGGGAGGAAUACCAGUGGCGAAGGCGGCCUUCUGGACUGACACUGACACUGAGGUGCGAAAGCGUGGGUAGCAAACAGGAUUAGAUACCCGAGUAGUC